Molecule: transfer RNA, 69 nt
Filed under: Dipodomys ordii (Ord's kangaroo rat)
Lineage: Eukaryota; Metazoa; Chordata; Mammalia; Rodentia; Heteromyidae
Rfam family: tRNA
About the family: Transfer RNA (tRNA) molecules are approximately 80 nucleotides in length.
Source: Rfam by way of RNAcentral
GGGAAUGUAGCUUAGUGGUAGAGUGCUUGCCUAGCAUGCAUGAAGCCCUGGGUUCCAUCCUCAGUACCA